UACGUAGGGUCCAAGCGUUAUCCGGAAUCACUGGGCGUAAAGCGUGCGUAGGUGGCGCGUUAAGUGAGAUGUUAAAUCGUGUGGCUCAACCAUAUCGAUGCAUCUCAUACUGGCGUGCUAGAGGACAGCAGAGGCAAGUGGAAUUCCACGUGUAGCGGUGAAAUGCGUAGAGAUGUGGAGGAACACCAAUGGCGAAGGCAGCCUUCUGGGCCAACACUGACGCUCAUGCACGAAAGCGUGGGGAGCAAACAGG
RNAcentral lists this ribosomal RNA (253 nucleotides) under uncultured bacterium. RNAcentral's name for it is "partial 16S ribosomal RNA". It matches the Rfam family "Bacterial small subunit ribosomal RNA", at positions 524 to 776 of the family's 1533-position model. The record is from RNAcentral.